GAUGAACGCUGGCGGCGUGCCUAAUACAUGCAAGUCGAGCGAACGGACGAGAAGCUUGCUUUUCUGAUGUUAGCGGCGGAAGGGUGAGUAACACGUGGAUAACCUACCUAUAAGACUGGGAUAACUUCGGGAAACCGGAGCUAAAACCGGAUAAUAUUUUGAACCGCAUGGUUCAAAAGUGAAAGACGGUCUUGCUGUCACUUAUAGAUGGAUCCGCGCUGCAUUAGCUAGUUGGUAAGGUAACGGCUUACCAAGGCAACGAUGCAUAGCCGACCUGAGAGGGUGAUCGGCCACACUGGAACUGAGACACGGUCCAGACUCCUACGGGAGGCAGCAGUAGGGAAUCUUCCGCAAUGGGCGAAAGCCUGACGGAGCAACGCCGCGUGAGUGAUGAAGGUCUUCGGAUCGUAAAACUCUGUUAUUAGGGAAGAACAUAUGUGUAAGUAACUGUGCACAUCUUGACGGUACCUAAUCAGAAAGCCACGGCUAACUACGUG
RNAcentral lists this ribosomal RNA (497 nucleotides) under uncultured bacterium. RNAcentral describes it as "partial 16S ribosomal RNA". It matches the Rfam family "Bacterial small subunit ribosomal RNA", at positions 28 to 507 of the family's 1533-position model. The record is from RNAcentral.